UUUCAGACGACAAUUAUAAAACAUCUAAAUAGACAAUGAACAAGGAUUAACAUAUUAUUAUGCUUAAACAUAAAAAAGGAGGAUCUUGAUUGGGUACAUUUCCAUCUUGGAGAUUGAGUGAAAGAUUCUAAAUCAUACAAAAAUGAUGCCUUAAAAGACUUCUUGUUGCGAGGUUUAUGAUACAUAAAAUCUAGUGAUGUCA
This 202-nucleotide long non-coding RNA is filed under the name Phoenix dactylifera (date palm). Its description in RNAcentral is "long non-coding RNA (PDAC_LNC006428)". The record is from RNAcentral. Lineage: Eukaryota; Viridiplantae; Streptophyta; Magnoliopsida; Arecales; Arecaceae.